Molecule: ribosomal RNA, 253 nt
Filed under: uncultured bacterium
Lineage: Bacteria
Description: partial 16S ribosomal RNA
Rfam family: Bacterial small subunit ribosomal RNA
Source: RNAcentral
UACGAAGGGGGCUAGCGUUGCUCGGAAUCACUGGGCGUAAAGGGUGCGUAGGCGGGUCUUUAAGUCAGGGGUGAAAUCCUGGAGCUCAACUCCAGAACUGCCUUUGAUACUGAAGAUCUUGAGUUCGGGAGAGGUGAGUGGAACUGCGAGUGUAGAGGUGAAAUUCGUAGAUAUUCGCAAGAACACCAGUGGCGAAGGCGGCUCACUGGCCCGAUACUGACGCUGAGGCACGAAAGCCAGGGGAGCAAACAGG